RNAcentral lists this ribosomal RNA (425 nucleotides) under uncultured bacterium. RNAcentral's name for it is "bacterial SSU rRNA". It matches the Rfam family "Bacterial small subunit ribosomal RNA", at positions 354 to 796 of the family's 1533-position model. The record is from RNAcentral.
GUGGGGAAUAUUGGACAAUGGGCGCAAGCCUGAUCCAGCCAUGCCGCGUGAGUGAUGAAGGCCUUAGGGUUGUAAAGCUCUUUCACCGGUGAAGAUAAUGACGGUAACCGGAGAAGAAGCCCCGGCUAACUUCGUGCCAGCAGCCGCGGUAAUACGAAGGGGGCUAGCGUUGUUCGGAAUUACUGGGCGUAAAGCGCACGUAGGCUGAUAUUUAAGUCAGGGGUGAAAUCCCGGGGCUCAACCCCGGAACUGCCUUUGAUACUGGGUAUCUUGAGUAUGGAAGAGGUCAGUGGAAUUGCGAGUGUAGAGGUGAAAUUCGUAGAUAUUCGCAGGAACACCAGUGGCGAAGGCGGCUGACUGGUCCAUUACUGACGCUGAGGUGCGAAAGCGUGGGGAGCAAACAGGAUUAGAAACCCGGGUAGUCC